AAACCCACCUCCGCCAAACUGACACACCCGGACCUCAUGACAUGCUUCUAGCCCCCGGCCCUAAGGACCCAGUGUUUUAUUUUUACCAUUCCAAAUGGAACUUCAUAAUUAUUAUAGUAAUUACAAUUUUAACAAACCGUCUGUGAACCCUGAUAAGAUUUAGCUUUCUGCCGCUAAAUAGGUUGAAUGAACCUCUCAGACAAAAAAGCUUGGUCCUGGCUUUACUAUCAGCUAUAGCUAAACUUACACAUGCAAGUCUCCGCACCCCUGUGAAAAUGCCCAUCAUCCCCCGCCCGGGGAUAAGGAGCCGGCAUCAGGCACAAUAUCUGGCCCACGACGCCUUGCUCAGCCACACCCCCACGGGAAUUCAGCAGUGAUAAACAUUAAGCUAUGAGUGAAAACUUGACUUAAUUAAUGCUAAGAGGGUCGGUAAACCUCGUGCCAGCCACCGCGGUUAUACGAGGGACCCAAGUUGAUGGACUACGGCGUAAAGCGUGGUUAGGGAAAAUUUUAAACUAAAGCCGAAGGCUCAUCAGGGCUGUUAUACGCACACGAGAGUAUGAAGAACAACAACGAAAGUGGCUUUACCCCUCCUGACCCCACGAAAGCUAAGAAACAAACUGGGAUUAGAUACCCCACUAUGCUUAGCCCUAAACAUUGAUUGUGGCCUACACCCCACAUCCGCCCGGGAACUACGAACAUCAGUUUGAAACCCAAAGGACUUGGCGGUGCUUUAUACCCACCUAGAGGAGCCUGUUCUGGAACCGAUAGUCCCCGUUCAACCUCACCCUCUUUUGCUCCUUCCCGCCUAUAUACCGCCGUCGUAAGCUUACCCUGUGAAGGAUAAAUAGUGAGCUCAAUUGGUACAGCCCAGCACGUCAGGUCGAGGUGUAGCGAAUAAGAGGGGAAGAAAUGGGCUACAUUCGCUAGCUUAGCGAAAACGAAUAAUGCAUUGAAACAUGUCAUUUGAAGGAGGAUUUAGAAGUAAGUAGAAAAUAGAGCGUUCUACUGAAGCUGGCUCUGAAGCGUGCACACACCGCCCGUCACCCUCUCCGACUUACCCAUUUUAUAACACUACUUAAAACGUUUCCUACCCUGAGGAGAGGAAAGUCGUAACAUGGUAAGCGUAGCGGAAGCUGCGCUUGGACAAAAU
This 1153-nucleotide non-coding RNA is filed under the name Polydactylus sextarius (blackspot threadfin). RNAcentral's name for it is "12S ribosomal RNA". The stretch from base 198 to 1153 matches the Rfam family "Bacterial small subunit ribosomal RNA". The record is from RNAcentral. Lineage: Eukaryota; Metazoa; Chordata; Actinopteri; Polynemidae.